This is a transfer RNA of Sphaerobolus stellatus SS14, 82 nucleotides long. It matches the Rfam family "tRNA". From Rfam's summary of the family: Transfer RNA (tRNA) molecules are approximately 80 nucleotides in length. The record is from Rfam. NCBI's taxonomy places the organism in Eukaryota, Fungi, Basidiomycota, Agaricomycetes, Geastrales, Sphaerobolaceae.
GGCCGCCUGGUGAAAUGGCAUCGCAUCUGACUAAGACUUGUCUGAAAUCAGGAGAUUGCAGGUUCGACCUCUGCGGUGGUCA